CUACGGGGGGCACCAGUGGGGAAUUUUGCGCAAUGGGGGCAACCCUGACGCAGCAAUACCGCGUGAGUGAAGAAGGCCUUUGGGUCGUAAAGCUCUUUUCUAAGGGAAGAUAGUGACGGUACCUUAGGAAUAAGCACCGGCUAACUCCGUGCCAGCAGCCGCGGUAAUACGGAGGGUGCGAGCGUUGUUCGGAUUUACUGGGCGUAAAGGGCACGUAGGCGGCCUAGCAAGUUAAGGGUGAAAUCCCGGGGCUCAACUCCGGAACUGCUCUUAAAACUGCUAAGCUAGAGAUAGUCAGAGGCGGGUGGAAUUCCAGGUGUAGAGGUGAAAUUCGUAGAUAUCUGGAGGAACACCGGUGGCGAAGGCGGCCCGCUGGGGCUAUUCUGACGCUGAGGUGCGAAAGCGUGGGGAGCGAACGGGAUUAGAUACCCCGGUAGUC
Molecule: ribosomal RNA, 439 nt
Filed under: uncultured bacterium
Lineage: Bacteria
Description: partial 16S ribosomal RNA
Rfam family: Bacterial small subunit ribosomal RNA
Source: RNAcentral